Molecule: unclassified non-coding RNA, 333 nt
Filed under: uncultured fungus
Lineage: Eukaryota; Fungi
Description: sequence contains ITS1, 5.8S rRNA gene
Rfam family: 5.8S ribosomal RNA (bases 285-333)
Source: RNAcentral
UUUCCGUAGGUGAACCUGCGGAAGGAUCAUUGUCGAAACCUGCCCAGCAGAACGACCCGCGAACUCGUUAUAAAGCAUCGGGGGCGUUCGGGCCUCGAGCCCGGGCGCUCCCACCCGUCGCGUGGGCGCUAGCCGCUCGCUUCGGCGUGCGUCCUCGCCCCCGCGGCGCAACAACGAACCCCGGCGCGGACUGCGCCAAGGAAAACUGAACGAGAGAGCUCGCUCCCGUCGCCCCGGACACGGUGCGCGUGCGGGAUGCGUGGCCUUCUUUAACGAUCUAAAACGACUCUCGGCAACGGAUAUCUCGGCUCUCGCAUCGAUGAAGAACGCAGC